Passer domesticus (house sparrow) is the source of this 376-nucleotide long non-coding RNA. RefSeq lists it as uncharacterized. Lineage: Eukaryota; Metazoa; Chordata; Aves; Passeriformes; Passeridae. The record is from RefSeq and is a predicted model, not a curated record. The transcript is spliced from 2 exons.
CGGGCAGAGACACAUCUCACAAUACCAGGUCAAUACAAUACUAAGGCUCAAGGCCUUAGUCAACAUGGCCUUGAUCACUGCCUGGGUUGGGACAUCACCUACACCCUCCCUGGGCUCGCAAAAUGGAUGGAUGCAGUUGACGGCAUGACCUUCAUAGAUUAAGGAAAUAUUCUGAGUUGGAAGAGAUCCACUAGGAUUAUCUAGUCCAGCUGUUAUCCCUGCACAGCACAUCCCCAGAAACCACACCAAGUGCCUUCCUUGGACACAAGAGCUGCUGGCAGGCUGCGGAGCAGGACGACGGCUCCUAAGCUGCCCUCCUGUGCACAUGGGAGCCGCAUGAGCGGGCAGCAGGUAGAUAAAGCUAUUACAACAUUAA